Molecule: ribosomal RNA, 556 nt
Filed under: uncultured bacterium
Lineage: Bacteria
Description: bacterial SSU rRNA
Rfam family: Bacterial small subunit ribosomal RNA
Source: RNAcentral
ACGGUACCUACAGAAGAAGCACCGGCUAACUACGUGCCAGCAGCCGCGGUAAUACGUAGGGUGCGAGCGUUGUCCGGAAUUAUUGGGCGUAAAGAGCUUGUAGGCGGUUUGUCGCGUCUGCUGUGAAAAUCCGGGGCUCAACCCCGGACUUGCAGUGGGUACGGGCAGACUAGAGUGUGGUAGGGGAGACUGGAAUUCCUGGUGUAGCGGUGAAAUGCGCAGAUAUCAGGAGGAACACCGAUGGCGAAGGCAGGUCUCUGGGCCACUACUGACGCUGAGAAGCGAAAGCGUGGGGAGCGAACAGGAUUAGAUACCCUGGUAGUCCACGCCGUAAACGUUGGGAACUAGGUGUGGGUCUCAUUCCACGAGAUCCGUGCCGCAGCUAACGCAUUAAGUUCCCCGCCUGGGGAGUACGGCCGCAAGGCUAAAACUCAAAGGAAUUGACGGGGGCCCGCACAAGCGGCGGAGCAUGUGGAUUAAUUCGAUGCAACGCGAAGAACCUUACCAAGGCUUGACAUAUACCGGAAACACCCAGAGAUGGGUGCCCCGCAAGGUC